This is a long non-coding RNA of Panicum virgatum (switchgrass), 1417 nucleotides long. RefSeq lists it as uncharacterized. The transcript is spliced from 2 exons. NCBI's taxonomy places the organism in Eukaryota, Viridiplantae, Streptophyta, Magnoliopsida, Poales, Poaceae. The record is from RefSeq and is a predicted model, not a curated record.
CUAGCUCCUCUCAAGAUUAGCUCGAGUUCGUGCAGUUGUCCGCCGCCAGCUCCGCCUACCGCGUCGCCAUCCAACUCCGCCGCCUGCUCCGUCCACGCCGCCGACCGCUUCUUCGUGCCGCCACCACCGCUGCAGACGUAGGCGAGAUCGACGGCAAGCGCGCGAGGCCCCUACUUCCUCCUCCGAAGCUGUCGGCGAGGACUGCCUCAGCACGCUCCCCGAGCCCGGCGAGGGCGACGGGAAGGGAGCCGGAGCGGACACAGCGGCCGCCGCGCGGACCAGCGUCCUCUACCGCCACUGGUGCCGAGUCUGGGCGCUCCUCCCGGAGCUCAGCUUCACCUUCGAAUCCAUGCCCGACCUCCUUGACGACACCCUCCCCGCACACGAGGUGGAUCUCCUGGCGACCAUGGCGUCCGUCCUGGCACUGGCUCUCGGCGGCGGCGUUGCUCUUUCGGCGUUCGGCUUCUGAGCCGGGAGGUCUAGUCAUCCACUCAGCUGGAGGUGCCACCACCCCUCCUCCUCGUCAUCCGCUCGUGCAGCAAGAAGAUGUCAAGGUUUGGUAGUCGAGCUCUUCGGCGGUGGGAUGACAAGGAUGAAUCUGAUGUUGACGAUCUAUUGAUCAUUGCCGGUCUUCUUGAGGGCUCGAAGAGAAACAAGCAGAAGAAAAAGUUUCCGUGGAUCAUUGCCGGGUCGCCACAACGUGCCAAGGGACAUUCUGGGAAGUCAUCGUCCGCGGCCUCCUCGUACAUGAGUACUGGCGAUGAUGUCGUGCUGCGGGCGUCAAAGGUGGCGGCGGUGGAGAAUGGUGGUGAAGCACCUUGAGGCUCCGUGAAGGUGGACGUCUGACGAUCGCGUGGAGGAACGAGCACAUCGUUGGGGAGCUGACAAGGUAGGCCGCCGGGGGAGAUGGCAGAUCUUGCCGACGAGGAAGGCCGACAGCGGGAGGAUUUGCGAUACGACGGGGAUGCGUUGCAACGAACGGACCACGUCGCAUCUUCUCCGGGGGAGCCGUCGUCGGACGGGGAGGCCGCCCGCCGCCGGAGAUGGAGCAGGACGCCUGCGUGGAUCUGUCCAUGGAGAAGAAGGAGGGGCGACGGCGACGGCGACGGCGCGGUGGGAGACGGCGGCGGGCGGAGAUGGCGCGGUGCUGGGCGCGGCGGGCGGCACCUCGUGUUGGGGCCGGCUCCUGUGCUGGCAGCGGGCGCCAGCAAAAGGAAAUGGGAGUCCUGUAUUUCCAUAGGCUUGGGGUUUCAAUUUGGAGGCACAUGCAAAAAGGGAGUCCAAAUAGAGCCUCCACUGGAGUUGUGUUUUAGCCCAAAACUCCUAAAAAAUGGGAGACUUAGGGGUGGAGUUGCUCUCAGAACACUUUGACCAUGAUGGAUUUCCAGCGCGAGUCAUUUCUUUCGCGCAAAUUUUA